Molecule: long non-coding RNA, 3306 nt
Organism: Triticum aestivum (bread wheat)
Lineage: Eukaryota; Viridiplantae; Streptophyta; Magnoliopsida; Poales; Poaceae
Exons: 7
Source: RefSeq, a predicted model, not a curated record
UGUUAAGGGAGGAUCGGACACGCGUGUGCCAGGGAGGAUGCUGCCACCACGCUCUUCGAAGAUGUGCGGAGUCGUCGUGUCUGUACGGUUGACACCUCUACCACCGUCGCUGCCUUCGAGGAGGAUUCGUGCCUGCAUCUUAAUGUUCGCCAAGCCCAUUACAUCGCUGGUUCAGGACACACAACAAAACAAAUCUGAACCUCAGCGACAUAUUUGCUGGGAGAGAAGGAGGAUAAAAAGUGUUGGUCCUCUUCACAGGAUAGACCUUUUAUGUAUCAUGUAUCCAAGCAGGCUGCAUGUGAGGUGAAUCAAGGUAACUAUAUGAUGUAGUGAAGUAUAAACUCCUCUCCCUAUAAUAUGCAGCCUUCAAACCAUAGGUUUGUGAAUUUUAUGCCAGCUGGGCCUCUUUCAUUUUAAUGCUUGAGUCCUAUUAUUUCAUUUCUCCAAGCUUUUGAGUUCUAAUAUUGUUCUGUAUUAUGAGCUCUUGAACAUUUGCCUGCACAACAAUGAUCUAUAAUAAUUCCCUUCUAAGCCUAGAGAUAGUUGUACACAUCAUUUAUUCAAUCCUAAAUUACUCUAUGCUCUGAAUUACUCCCGUGGUGCAUUUUAUGUCCCCCUUACAUCUAUAUCUAUGUCUUCUUACUCAUAUACAUGCUUUCCCAUGUAAUCAUCCUUAACAAUUGUCAUGUUCAAUCUGUAACUACUUAUCAGGGUAUUUUCUGAUUUUUUUAUGUUGCCGCUUACUGAUCUUACGACAUGGAGAGGAGAGGCCAAGUAGCAGCAAGCAUGCAGCUGUGUCAUGCAAACAAACUGAUACUGCAAAAAGUCACUGAUUGUACAAAACCAGAAAAACAAAUUGCAGCGCAAGCAUGCAAAGAGACAAUUGCGCGAAUCAAACACAUAUUCAAAUAAUAAGGCAGUGAGAGGCUUUAUAUUAGGCGGUGUACUGCAACAAGGUGCCUCCCUCCAUCAUCAUUCCAUUCUUCUCAUGUUUCCUAUCUGUCAGCUGCACCUACAACCGGUGCCCCAAUCUAGCUCGACAAUUGACGGCGGCUACAUCUGUUGUGGCCGGCAGCGAGGCAAGUCCUCCUUUUAAACCAUGUAUGUUGAUUUCAAAUAGUAGAACUAAUUCAUACUUUGAAGUUAUUUGUUAAUCAGGCUUCCAUGGACGUUGAUUUCCAUUAAACAGUAUUUUGCGAACUUCUUGUUCUCUGCAAAUUUUGGAUGCCGCCGGUCAGUGUGACGCCCAAAUCCUGGUGGCAAGUCUUUUUCUAAUUGAGAGAAUUAUUUAGGUGCUAAUUCAAACAGCAUGUCUAUAGGAUCCCGGUCUGGAAAACUAGAUGGUGUAUGGAUUCAGAGAUGAACAUGACGAACGAUAGAAGGUCGAUUUGGAUUAUUCUUGGUCCAUAACUUUCAAUUAUUCCACUGCCACACAACUGUGCUUGUGCUGGCAGGGAGAGGAGGAGAAGUAAGGCGUUGUGGGCAUGGACUGGCUGUGGGUACAAGAAGGCCAGAUAUGAGAUGGUGGAAAGGAUGCACACAGGAGAAGAGAACAGGCUGCAACGGAAGGCAGUUUAAGAUGUAGUAGUGGACGCCUCUUCCAUGAUAUUCAGCAAUCUGCGUGUUCAGUGAUGCCGCACACGUCCUCUCAUCUCGUCACGAAUGGCCUGGAUGUGGCAGCUGCCGUCAACAUCCCAACCGUCACCAGCACGACGUGUUGAAUGACAUUGGCAUCGUCUCACUGGGGCAGCAGCUCAACACCGGCAUUAUUCUGGUAAUGCAAGUCCCGCUCCAUCUCCUCUGUUUGCAGUCAUUGUUCCAAUAUUACUGGAGAUAAAAUCCAUUCUAGCUAUCGUUGCUGAAGAUCGUUUGGUGGUGUUCGAUCCAGACUAAAAAAUUAUUUCAUGUUGUUUUCAGUAAUUAUGAUCAGCUCAGCCGUAAGAUGUAGAGAGAUCAAUCACAUCCAAUCUUCGAUUUAAUGUAAAUUAGGUGAUUUACUGAACCGCGGGUUGCCUGUUUCAUGAACAGUACUGCCAUUUUAAACAAUCUAGGACCUACACUUGAUGACGACAUUAUUAUUUAUACAGCUGUACUGGGCCAUUUGUUAGCAGCAGCCAAUUAUAUGCCAAUCUUUAUAAAGUUGAAAGACUAAAUUCCAGUGACAAAAAGCCUUGUCAUACUGGCAGUUAUUUUUCAAUGAAUGUCUGCAUAUCAUUCACUUGUCUUGAUGUCUGUCUAUAAUAAAGUUGGCAUGUACCUUUUGUUCAAAAUAAAGCAUGCUUGGUUUUUGGAGUUGCAUCCAUCAGCUAACCUUAGAGGAAUUCAUAUAUCCACCACGCCGGUGCUUGUUUUGCACAAUCUUAUACAUUAGGACUUUAUACUCCUUCACAAAAAACACCCUGGCAAAAUAUUUGUAUGCUACUUUGCCUCAUUUCAUAAGUGUAGUUUUGGUCACGUAUGUUGGAAAUAUAUGCUUGUUCUGUGGUGAUGAAUCAGAAUGGAAAAUCUGAAAGGAAGUGAUUAUUUGUUCAUGUGUUGAUAUAGUGAUUCUGUUUGAACUUGAAGGAUAAAUAUGAUGGAGCCUUUUUUUUUAUUAAAGCUUGUUUUCCGUUGGAAUUAUUGUUGUAAAUACUAUAUUUGCGGGUGUGCAGUUUGUGAUUCUCUAUUCAUGAUAUUUAGAUAGAUCGGAUUCGUUCCUUUAUAGCAUACACAGACUUGAAUUAUUUUGUCAUUGAUGAAUAUGCAUAAUGUACUUUAAUUUGUUGAGAUUUCAAAUGAGGUCGUAGGAAUCAAAAUGGAACUCUCAUGUGGCUGAUAUCGGUUUUAUAUUAUAUUUUUAGAUGAAAUUUCUAUAUUUACUUAUCUCAAGAUAUAUUUGAUUUCAUUUUUGUCUCUUGAGACAAGGAGCGAGCAAACUGUUGAUUUUGCAGAGAACAAUUGUCACUGAAUUGCUUUCAAGGCGGAUGUUCCAUAGACAAACAAGCAUGCAAUCAACACUGCAUGAUUUCAAUUGGUUUCCAAUCCUGGAAAGAAGGAACGAUAUGAGCUAAAAGAUGCAGAAAAAGAGGAUUAGGCCCGCAGAUUGUUAUCAAGGAGAACAUUGAGCUAUGAGGGUGUUUUUCGGGCAACACCGGCGAUGGUCUCAGCAGCUAUAUGAUGGUGAACUGUAGCUGUCGUAAUAUUUUGAGAAAUAUAUUAUGAUUAAUUUUUACUUACCUAUCCGAUUUUUUUCGUUGCGAUGAUCUGAUAGGCCCCAUAUAGGUGUCUGGAUUGUAAUAGGUAUUUUUCUGGGUUAAGAAGGAAGAA